AGGUCAGAGCGGCAGAAACAGGAUUCAGUGCAGCCCUGCAGCCGGGCUCUCAGCUCUCAUCUGCGCACCUCCUGAUGGCGGGCAGCGUGACCCACAGCCCCGAGAACGACUCUCGAUGACAACAGCUGACAGCCGUGUUGCCAUGACAAAUGCGAGUUGUGUGCCGUUCAAAUGCGUUUCUAACAAUCAAGGGAAAUGGCAGAAUCCUUCUGAGAAGUUGAUGUAGAGAUAGCUAGAGGCUCGUGGCGGGGGCAGGAAAGGGUCGUUUCUGGCAUCCCAGGGAGGUCACGUUGACACAAAAAACGCAGCCUCAAAGUGUGGGACGUGGAAGUGGGUUUGCAAGGAGACGUCAGGGUCAGGGGAGAAGCUACGACGCGGUCGGUCAAGGAGUCUCCACCAGGGAGAACCGUGCUCUCCCCUCUAGUGUGAACCGAGACCCACGAAGCCACAGCAAGUCCCUCCCAGCCGCACAGAUUUUAUCUGAAACCCUGUGCUGGGCGGCUUUGCUUCUGCCUUCAGGGCUGGCUCUCAGUAAAGGCUCCUUGACGGGAAGCGACACCAUAAUCUCAGAGUAUACCAGGCCCUUUGAGGAAGGGGGUCAAAUCCCAAACACCUUUUAGUCUCAAGACAUUUAAUAAGAGGCCAACAAAGUAUAUUGCAGAGCAAGACCUGCCGCACUGGGAAGGCAAACACUGCAACAAGCUAGAAGCCGCUUCCAGAAGGCGAGAGAUGACUGCCCAGCCCUGUGGCUGAUGGUUGUGAUGUGCUCUAACAACAAGGACAAGGAUUAUUAAAGGGUCACUUUUAAAGUCGUCCAAUUGAUUAACAUUUCUCGACGGGUAUAUAAAAAACCCAGAGGCCCCAACUUUCCCCACCACCACCUCUCAGCCCAGCCCCCUCCUCUCUCACUUGGAAGCUCUGCCUGUAGGAGAAAGAACAGAAUCUUAAGAAAGGAGUUGACAAAAACUGAAAGACAUCCUGUGGCGAAAGUCUGGUGAACCUUGUACAAGGGGAAUGAUGCUAUCUCAGGUUCAUAGAUUCAGCAAGCAAGCCCUGUUUUCGUCCUCAAGGAUUUUGCAAUGGCGGAAGGAGAAAGAUAAGGUCCAGUGUAACACUGUGAACAAGGGGCCGUCGAGCAAAGAAUGUGUAGAAAGGAGGGUUGUGAGUUACUGUCCACUGAGCAUCUCCUCUCUGUCCAGCACUGAGCUGGAUGCCAUGGGAUGGAGUCUGAAGUCUACUGGGAGGAGUUCCUGAAACUUUAUGUGAGAGCUCUCCAAUCCUGGGUGACCACCAUCUUGGAUGGGGACUCCCAACAGGAAGGAAAGCCCACCUGGCCAUGGGAUUCCCUGGUCAAGGCCAAGAUUCCAUCUGACAACAACAUAGAAACCAGGUCGUAGAGAACAUGAUUGCGACCAACAGCUCCAGUGAGAUGUUCUUUUCAUGUGUUUGCACACGUUGAACAUCAUUACUCUUCUCCAAGAGAAAGAAACUUGGAACUUAAUGAGUAGAAUGAGCCUGAAUCUUCAACUUCAAACUGUUGAAUUUUCUUAUUCAUGCUUCCUUCUCACAGUUGGCUGAUCUCUCCUGCCCCAAGCUUUCAAAGGGAUGUUGGAGGCACUUAAAUUUUUCUUCACCAUAAAAGUAAGAAAAUCCCCUAUUAGACCUUCCUAAGGGCUGGACCCAUGGAUCAUUUGUCUCUAUGUCCCUGUUUAUAGAGCCUAGCAGAGCUUCCCAGGCACUCUGGAAAUGUCUGUGGCAUGUCUGUGGAAGGAAGGAGGCAAGGAGGAAGGGGGGAAAUAAGAUUCUUUUAGCUGAAUGAUGCUUGUGUUUCUUUAAAAACCAAUGGUGUGAAGACUUCCAAGGCUCCUAAAAGCUGCACAUACAUUAACCCCAUUAAUCGAUGCUGAUUCUUCUUAGUCCACAGAUUUUUAAAAUUCAAAUAGAUUAAUCAAGUGUGAAUCAUUCUAGAGAAACAAUCUUGCCUUUUCCAGAAAGGGCUUGGUUGAGUAACUCUCCUCUGUUUCAUUUUGUUCAGUUUUCAAUUAUAAAAUGAGACUCAGAAGAAGUUCAAAUAACCACAGAAGAAAGGAAUGUUUUUUUUCUUUCAGAAAGAACUGAAUAAUAAUAGCAAACACAUCAGCACUUACCAUGUGCCAAAAGCUGUUUUAUCUUGUACGUUAACUCCUUAUGGCAACUCUAGAGACAGUAGCUACACGUAUUUUGUUCUACACAACAGAAAACUGAGGCCCAGAGAGUUUGAGUAACUUGCCCAAGAUCACACAACUAGGACGUGGCAGUGCUAGGAUCUGAAACCAAGCCCUCUGGUUCAUGAACCCACACUCUAAACCGUUAAACCAACCACUCAGGUCCAGCAGCAUAUAUUAGAAAAUGAGAAAAGUCUGAGCCAAAGUUACUACAAUGCCCCAAACAAGAAGUCACCCUGAAGAAAGUAUGGCUCUUAGCUACAAGUGUAUCUCCUCACAGUGUCCUCUCUUGGAGUAGCUUGUGGCCAAAACUUGAGUGCUUUAAAAUGACAAAGUAGGAGCGCUUGGGUGGCUCAGUUGGUUAAGCGUCAACUCUUGGUUUCUGCUCAGGUCAUGAUCUCAGGAU
Long non-coding RNA from Mustela erminea (ermine), 2610 nucleotides. RefSeq lists it as uncharacterized. Lineage: Eukaryota; Metazoa; Chordata; Mammalia; Carnivora; Mustelidae. The transcript has 3 exons. The record is from RefSeq and is a predicted model, not a curated record.